AAGUAAUUAUGUAUGUUAAGUC
RNAcentral lists this non-coding RNA (22 nucleotides) under Arabidopsis thaliana (thale cress). The record is from RNAcentral. Lineage: Eukaryota; Viridiplantae; Streptophyta; Magnoliopsida; Brassicales; Brassicaceae.